RNAcentral lists this ribosomal RNA (406 nucleotides) under uncultured bacterium. RNAcentral describes it as "partial 16S ribosomal RNA". It matches the Rfam family "Bacterial small subunit ribosomal RNA", at positions 29 to 526 of the family's 1533-position model. The record is from RNAcentral.
AUUGAACGCUGGCGGCGGGCCUAACACAUGCAAGUCGAACGAGUGGCGGACGGGUGAGUAAUGUCUGGGAAACUGCCUGAUGGAGGGGGAUAACUACUGGAAACGGUAGCUAAUACCGCAUACCCUCAGAUGUGCCCAGAAGGGAUUAGCUAGUUGGUGGGGUAACGGCUCACAAAGGCGACGAUCCCUAGCCGGUCUGAGAGGAUGACCAGCAACACUGGAAUGGAAACAGGGUCAAGACUCCGACGGGAGGAAGCAGUGGGAAAUAUUGCAAAAGGGGCGCAAGCCGGAUGCAGCCAGGCCGCGGGUAUGAAGAAGGCCUUCGGGUUGUAAAGUACUUUCAGCGGGGAGGCGUUACCCGCAGAAGAAGCACCGGCUAACUCCGUGCCAGCAGCCGCGGUAAUUC